This 602-nucleotide ribosomal RNA is filed under the name uncultured bacterium. RNAcentral describes it as "bacterial SSU rRNA". It matches the Rfam family "Bacterial small subunit ribosomal RNA", at positions 338 to 947 of the family's 1533-position model. The record is from RNAcentral.
CCUACGGGAGGCAGCAGUGGGGAAUAUUGCACAAUGGGCGCAAGCCUGAUGCAGCAACGCCGCGUGAGGGACGACGGCCUUCGGGUUGUAAACCUCUUUUAGUAGGGAAGAAGCGAAAGUGACGGUACCUGCAGAAAAAGCACCGGCUAACUACGUGCCAGCAGCCGCGGUAAUACGUAGGGUGCAAGCGUUGUCCGGAAUUAUUGGGCGUAAAGAGCUCGUAGGCGGUUUGUCGCGUCUGCUGUGAAAACCCGAGGCUCAACCUCGGGCCUGCAGUGGGUACGGGCAGACUAGAGUGCGGUAGGGGAGAUUGGAAUUCCUGGUGUAGCGGUGGAAUGCGCAGAUAUCAGGAGGAACACCGAUGGCGAAGGCAGAUCUCUGGGCCGUAACUGACGCUGAGGAGCGAAAGCAUGGGGAGCGAACAGGAUUAGAUACCCUGGUAGUCCAUGCCGUAAACGUUGGGAAACUAGAUGUAGGGACCAUUCCACGGUUUCUGUGUCGCAGCUAACGCAUUAAGUUCCCCGCCUGGGGAGUACGGCCGCAAGGCUAAAACUCAAAUGAAAUUGACGGCUUGAGAGNGCGAGCGACGACGAGGGAGGAGG